GCCCGGCCGGGGGAAGCCGGGGGAGGAGGGGAACCGAGGCCCGGCCGGAGACACCAGAGACCAGGCCCGGCCAGCCCCGGUCGCUUCCGACCCCAGGGGCGGGGACAGCGCCGAGACCGACUCUGCCCUGCCUGAUCCGACAGGCCGCACGGGGCUGGGCGCUGGCGAAGGGGUGGCCCAGCGGGGAGCCCCGCGCGGAGGUGGUGCCCCACUCGUCCCCCCGAGAGAGGGAAAAGGCUACAAGCCGCGCUUCGCUCACCUGUCCCGCCCGCGCCAUCGCGCGAUGCGUCGCCGACGCUUCCACGACUUCCGCAGCUCCGGCAGUCGCCCGGGCCCGGCAGCCCCGCCCCUGGCCGAACACCCCUAAACCCGGGGACACCUCCUCCGGCGUCCGCGCCUAGCCGCCGGCAGCGCCACGCCCACCGCCAGCGGCGCAGCGAGGCAGCCUGGAGUGACCGCGACCAAGGAGCGGCCGCCCGGGUCAGCCCGCGCCGCCCGCCGCCCCCUCACCCCGUCGCACCGCUGGGAAAGCGCACGGUCGGCCGCGCCGCCGCGCUUCCUCGGGCUUCGCGACCCUGCCGUAAAGCGGCCCCUCGCGCCGUCGCAAUGCUGCCGUGCGCCGCGGGAGCCAGGGGGCGUGGGGCCAUGGUGGUCUUGCGGGCGGGGAAGAAGACCUUUCUCCCCCCUCUCUGCCGCGCCUUCGCCUGCCGCGGCUGUCAACUCGCUCCGGAGCGCGGCGCCGAGCGCAGGGAUACGGCGCCCAGCGGGGUCUCAAGAUUCUGCCCUCCAAGAAAGUCUUGCCAUGAUUGGAUAGGACCCCCAGAUAAAUAUUCAAACCUUCGACCUGUUCACUUUUACAUACCUGAAAAUGAAUCUCCAUUGGAACAAAAGCUUAGAAAAUUAAGACAAGAAACACAAGAAUGGAAUCAACAGUUCUGGGCAAACCAGAAUUUGACUUUUAGUAAGGUAA
RNAcentral lists this long non-coding RNA (970 nucleotides) under Homo sapiens (human). Its description in RNAcentral is "HSALNT0216497". Lineage: Eukaryota; Metazoa; Chordata; Mammalia; Primates; Hominidae. The record is from RNAcentral.